AGGCUGAGUGUUGGUGGAGGAAGGGAAGGAGAGAAGAGAGCGCUGCAGCCAAAAAUGCAAGAUUCCAAAAGCCAGAAGGAAGAAAAACAAGAAGGAGUCUGACUGUGUAACUUAGUAGUUGUAUCACUCAAUUGGAAAACGAGUGGAUAUCUUGUCUUGAGCAGAGUAUAAACCAGGGCAUUUCGACACCCAUGAAUCUAUCUGCUGAGACUUAAAUUUCAUCUGAGUAGAGAAAGAACUAAAUGUUACUAGUUGAGGAAGUUGUCUUAAUUAUGGGGCAUUGUGAAAUGGAUCAAUCCAAACUCAGGAUAUAACUGAUUGUAAUCUGUUCCACUACUUCAAUUUGGUCCUCAGCAGCAGUCUGUCACAAUCUUGGGAAACCCUGCCAAUAUGAAAGUGACCACACAGGCUACAGGCUAAGUACUGGACUACUGUGAUGCAGCUCUUCUUUCCAUAAUUUGUAGCAGCCAUGCUGAAGCAAUCUAACACUGUAAAUGCCAGACUGUGAUUGGUAUCUGUAUUAUUACCAGGCUAUAUACAUGAACCCAACUCAGGUAAUGUUCAAAACAACUUUAAAUAAAAGCACACAACUCCAUCUUUGUUGGUUUUUUUGUAGUAUUUUAAUGCAGCAUUAAAAUGCUAUAAUACUAGAGGAAAGCUGUAUACUAUCCAGCAAAUAAGGCACAUGUCGGAAUGCCAUUGAAUGGACAAUCCACAACAGAGGUUUUACAGUCUUUUCAGCAACCCAGUCACUGGUAGAACAAGUUGUCAUCUUGGUUGCUUAUACAGAACUGAUACCUCUGAGACCUUUGUCCAUAGGAUUUUUUUUUAGCUGUAAAAGUCUAUUAACAGUUACAGAAAAGGGAAUUAUACAACUUGGCAACUGAAACUGACAAGGUCAGUUGGAGCAGCUAAACAAAAGUAGUAAUAAUUAAGCUAAUUUUAAAGCUGCGGAAAUUCAGGUAAGUGUUAGUUUUAGCACUAUUACACAAUGUAGUGACUGGUUUACUAAAUAACUUUUUAAAGGAAACAAAGAGUUCAGUAUAGAAUUGGGUAGACAUUCCAUUUUAGCAUGGUAAAAUUUUUUUAAAUUCAUAAUAUAAUCAAGCUACAUGAAAUGUAAGGUGUAACAAAAAUGCUUCAAGUACAUGCACAUGCUUAUUCUAUCAUGCUAUGAAUUCUAAUUAAAAUAAACACAAUUCUAAACAACAAA
Long non-coding RNA from Alligator sinensis (Chinese alligator), 1213 nucleotides. RefSeq lists it as uncharacterized. NCBI's taxonomy places the organism in Eukaryota, Metazoa, Chordata, Crocodylia, Alligatoridae. The transcript is spliced from 3 exons. The record is from RefSeq and is a predicted model, not a curated record.